GUAGCCCUUGAAUCUCUCCCAGGCUUCACUGAAUCCUUCCAAGUUCUUCUGUUGAAAGCUGGAAAUCUCAUUUU
This 74-nucleotide small nucleolar RNA is filed under the name Brassica oleracea var. oleracea. RNAcentral describes it as "Plant small nucleolar RNA R71". It matches the Rfam family "Plant small nucleolar RNA R71", at positions 27 to 100 of the family's 107-position model. Rfam says of the family: R71 is a member of the C/D box family of snoRNAs containing the C (UGAUGA) and D (CUGA) box motifs. Multiple nearly identical copies of this snoRNA have been identified in Arabidopsis, and it is thought to function as a 2'-O-ribose methylation guide for 18S ribosomal RNA. Lineage: Eukaryota; Viridiplantae; Streptophyta; Magnoliopsida; Brassicales; Brassicaceae. The record is from Rfam by way of RNAcentral.